RNAcentral lists this ribosomal RNA (3004 nucleotides) under Ambystoma mexicanum (axolotl). RNAcentral describes it as "eukaryotic LSU rRNA". It matches the Rfam family "Eukaryotic large subunit ribosomal RNA", at positions 441 to 3401 of the family's 3401-position model. The record is from RNAcentral. Lineage: Eukaryota; Metazoa; Chordata; Amphibia; Caudata; Ambystomatidae.
ACACAUUGUUCAUAAAGUUUCACAAAACAAGCAGUACCACAAGCCAAAAACUGAGCCAUGGUACGCAGGAGUUUUAUGGUUACAUGCCAAACAGACAUACUUAGCAUGUGUAAAUAAGGAAAACAAAUGUGGUGAGGAAGGGCAAGCCUACAUUUUUUGAAAGAGCACAGGCAGCCCUUUUGAAGGGUAGGUGACUUGUGCAGGUUAGAAAAGUGUAUAGUACCUAAAGCAGUGACUAAAUGUAGUUCACAUUUGGGAAAUUAAAUGGUUUUGUGACAAAGGGCAGCAGCAAAUGAGUCAAAACAUUAUGAAAACCAUGCAAACACAACGAAUGUCGUACCUUCUCGCAUUCCCACAAGUAUACCAACGAAAACGGUAUCUCACAUGUGUGGGUGCACCUACCUCGGCACAAAUAGAAAAGGCUAAACCACAGGUAACCCCAAGUCUUUCGGCAGAACAGGUUUUGAGGAAUUUUGCUCAUGUGGACAACCCCCAGAUUUUGGCCUAGGGUGUUGAAGCCACCAAGGAAAAGAGGAAACCCCAUGCAUUUCCGAAAAGAGGACACCCAAAGGAAUCCACAAAGGUUUAACUUGCGUGAAUCGCCCCAAAAUUUAGUACACACAACCCCCCGGCAAAGUAUGAAAUUUGGCAAAAAAAUCACAGUUUUCAUACAUUUCACUCUGCCCACCCACCGAAACACACCGCCAACAUCACAUGUCCUACCUUCCUUCGUUCCCACAGAUGUCCCAAUGAAAACGGUACCUCACAUGUGUGGGUGCACCUACCUGGGCGCAAAGAGAAAAUGCUAAACCACUGCAUCCACAGAGGUGUGACUUGCGCAAAUUGCCCCAGAAGCUGCAACGGAGUAGGAGGGCCGCUGCAGUGCACACAAAGCCCGAGGCGAAGGCCCGGGUGGAGCCGCCGCAGGUGCCGAUCUUGGUGGUAGUAGCAAAUAUUCAAACAAGAACUUUAAAGGCCGAAGUGCAGAAGUAUUCUAUGUGAACAUCAGUUAAACAUGGGUCAGUCGGUCCUAAGAGAUGGGUGAGCGCCGUUCUAAAGGGACAGGGGAUGGCCUCCGUUGCCCUCAGCCGAUCGCAAGGGAGUCAGGUUCAGAUCCCCCAACGCGGAGUGGCUGAGACAGGCGCUGUCACAGCAUCCAGUGCAGUAAUGCAAACGAUCCUGGAGAAGCCGGCGUGAGUCCCAGGGUGAGUUCUCUUUUCUUUGUGAGGGGCAGGGUACCCUGGAAUGGGUACACCCCGAGAGAGGGGCUCGAGCCUUGGGAAGCUUUGCGGUUCCAGCGGCAUCCAGUGAGCUCUUGCUGGUCCUUGAAAAUCUGGGGGAGAUGGUGUAAAUCUCGUGCCAGGCCGUACCCAUAUCCACAGCAGGUCUCCAAGGUCAACAGCCUCUGGCAUUAUGGAACAAUGUAGGUAUGGGAAGUUGGCAAGUCAGAUCUGUAACUUCGGGAUGAAGAUUGGCUGGGUCUGUCGGGCUGGGGCGCGAAACAGGGCUGUGUGUGCAAUGUGGCUGGAUGAGGUGUCUGCCCCCCGGGGGCAGCACAGACUCUGGACAUGAGCCGGGCCCUCACUGUGGAUCAUCCCAGCUGCUGCGGUCGCCUUUCUCUGUUCCCCUUCCAGGGUUCAGGGCCGGCGUUCUGCCUAGGCCGAUGCUUAGCAGCUGACUUAGAACUGGUGCGGACCAGGGAAAUCCGACUGUUUAAUUAAAACAAAGCAUAGCGAAGACCCGCAGUGGGUGUUGACGCGAUGUGAUUUCUGCCCAGUGCUCUGAAUGUCAGAGUUAAGAAAUGUAAUGUAGUGCGGGUGAACAGCAAUAGUAACUAUGAAUCUCUUCAGGUAGACAAAUGCCUCAUCAUCUAAUUAGUGACACGCAUGAAUGAAUGAAUGAAGGAGAUUCCCACUGUCCCUACCUACUAUCUAUCGAAACCACAGCCAAGGUAACAGGCUUGGCAGAAUCAGCGGGAAAGGAAGACCCCACUGAUCUUGGCUCUAUUCUAGCACUGUGAAGAGACAUACGAGGUGUAGGAUAAGUUAGAGACCCUCGGGCCGCCCGUGAAAUACCACUGCUCUUUUCAUUUUUUCACUUACCUGGUGAGGCGGGGGGCGAGCCGCGUGGGGCUCUCGUUUCUGGCUCCAAGAGCCCGGCACUAGCCGGGCGUGACCCGCUCCAGGGACAGUGGAAGGUGGGGAGUUAGACUGGAGUGGUAAACCUGUCAAACGAUAAUGCAGGUGUCCUAAGGCAAGCUCAGGAAGGACAGAAACCUCCCGUGGAGCAGAAGGGCAAAAACACGCUUGAUCACGAUUUUCAGUAUGAAUACAAACUGUGAAAGUGGGGCCUCAAGAUUGUUCUGAUUUUUUGGGUUUCAGGCAGGAGGUGUCAGAAAAGUUACCACAGGGAUAACUGGCUUGUGGCAGUUAAGCGUUCAUAGAACAUCGCUUUUUGAUCCUUCAAUGUCGGCUCGUCCUAUCAUUGUGAAGCAGAAUUCACCAAGCGUUGGAUUGUUCACCCACUAAUAGGGAACAUGAGCUGGGUUUAGACCGUCGUGAGACAGGUUAGUUUUACCCUACUGAUGAUGUGUUGUUGCAAUAAUAAUCCUGAUCAGUAUGAGAGGAACCACAGGUUCAGGCAUUUGAUGUAUGUGCUUGGCUGAGGAGCCAAUGGGGCAAAGCUACCAUCCGUGGGAUUAUGACUGAACGCCUCUAAGUCAGAAUCCCCUCUAAACCGUAAUGAUACCGCAGUGCUGUGGAGCCUCAUUUGGCCUAGGAUAGCCGGCCUCUGGGCCGGUGCAUAGAGCUGCUCACCUCGGCACUCAAGUGUGGACACAAGGGGGCCACCUCUCUCGCCCCUAGUGCACUCCAUGUUCGUGGGGAAUCUGGUGCUAAAUCAUUCGUAGAUGACCUGAUUCUGGGACAGGUUUUCAUAAGUAGCAGAGCAGCUACCUCGCUGCGAUCUAUUGAAAGUCAUCCUCUGAGCCAUCCUUCCUCCCGCU